UGGGGAAUAUUGCACAAUGGGCGAAAGCCUGAUGCAGCAACGCCGCGUGAGGGACGACGGCCUUCGGGUUGUAAACCUCUUUUAGCAAGGAAGAAGCGAAAGUGACAGUACUUGCAGAAAAAGCGCCGGCUAACUACGUGCCAGCAGCCGCGGUAAUACGUAGGGCGCAAGCGUUAUCCGGAAUUAUUGGGCGUAAAGAGCUCGUAGGCGGUUUGUCGCGUCUGCUGUGAAAACCCGAGGCUCAACCUCGGGCCUGCAGUGGGUACGGGCAGACUAGAGUGCGGUAGGGGAGAUUGGAACUCCUGGUGUAGCGGUGGAAUGCGCAGAUAUCAGGAAGAACACCGAUGGCGAAGGCAGAUCUCUGGGCCGUAACUGACGCUGAGGAGCGAAAGGGUGGGGAGCAAACAGGCUUAGAUGACCCUGGUAGUCCACCCCGUAAACGUUGGGACUAGUUGUGGGUCCAUUCCACGGAUUCCGUGACGCAGCUAACGCAUUAAGUUCCCCGCCUGGGGAGUACGGCCGCAAGGCU
This 529-nucleotide ribosomal RNA is filed under the name uncultured bacterium. RNAcentral describes it as "partial 16S ribosomal RNA". It matches the Rfam family "Bacterial small subunit ribosomal RNA", at positions 355 to 895 of the family's 1533-position model. The record is from RNAcentral.